This 876-nucleotide ribosomal RNA is filed under the name Entonaema sp. MEL 2346802. Its description in RNAcentral is "LSU rRNA". It matches the Rfam family "Eukaryotic large subunit ribosomal RNA", at positions 52 to 918 of the family's 3401-position model. The record is from RNAcentral. Lineage: Eukaryota; Fungi; Ascomycota; Sordariomycetes; Xylariales; Xylariaceae.
GGAGGAAAAGAAACCAACAGGGAUUGCCCCAGUAACGGCGAGUGAAGCGGCAACAGCCCAAAUUUGAAAUCUGGCCUCCGCCUAGGGGGUCCGAGUUGUAAUUUGCAGAGGAUGCUUUGGGCGCCGGCGCCUUCCGAGUUCCCUGGAACGGGACGCCAUCGAGGGUGAGAGCCCCGUACGGUCGGAUGCCGAGCCCGCGUAAAGCUCCCUCGACGAGUCGAGUAGUUUGGGAAUGCUGCUCUAAACGGGAGGUAAAUCUCUCCUAAGGCUAAAUACCGGCCAGAGACCGAUAGCGCACAAGUAGAGUGAUCGAAAGAUGAAAAGUACUUUGAAAAGAGGGUCAAACAGCACGUGAAAUUGUUGAAAGGGAAGCGUUUGCGGCCAGACUUUACCCCGGGGCGGGUCAGGCGGCGUUCUCUCACGCCGGCGCGCUCUGUCCCGGGAUAGGCCAGCAUGGGCUCUGGCGGGGGGAGAAAAGCGGCGGGAAAGUAGCCCUCCCUUCUGGGGCGGGGUGUUAUAGCCCGCGGCACAAUACCUCCGCCGGGGCCGAGGACCGCGCCGCAGCAGCGGCAAGGAUGCUGGCGUAAUGGCCGUCAACGACCCGUCUUGAAACACGGACCAAGGAGUCGAACAGCCGCGCGAGUGUACGGGUGUCAAACCCUCGCGCGCAAUGAAGGUGAACGAAGGUGAGAGGCCCUCCGCCGGGGGGGACGCAUCAUCGACCGAUCCGGAUGUCUUCGGAAGGAUUCGAGUAUGAGCGCGGCUGUUCGGACCCGAAAGAUGGUGAACUAUGCGUGGAUAGGGUGAAGCCAGAGGAAACUCUGGUGGAGGCUCGCAGCGGUUCUGACGUGCAAAUCGAUCGUCAAAUCUGCGCAU